This 513-nucleotide ribosomal RNA is filed under the name Microbacterium sp. RNAcentral describes it as "bacterial SSU rRNA". It matches the Rfam family "Bacterial small subunit ribosomal RNA", at positions 380 to 903 of the family's 1533-position model. The record is from RNAcentral. Lineage: Bacteria; Bacillati; Actinomycetota; Actinomycetes; Micrococcales; Microbacteriaceae.
AGCCUGAUGCAGCAACGCCGCGUGAGGGAUGACGGCCUUCGGGUUGUAAACCUCUUUUAGCAGGGAAGAAGCGUGAGUGACGGUACCUGCAGAAAAAGCGCCGGCUAACUACGUGCCAGCAGCCGCGGUAAUACGUAGGGCGCAAGCGUUAUCCGGAAUUAUUGGGCGUAAAGAGCUCGUAGGCGGUUUGUCGCGUCUGCUGUGAAAUCCCGAGGCUCAACCUCGGGCCUGCAGUGGGUACGGGCAGACUAGAGUGCGGUAGGGGAGAUUGGAAUUCCUGGUGUAGCGGUGGAAUGCGCAGAUAUCAGGAGGAACACCGAUGGCGAAGGCAGAUCUCUGGGCCGUAACUGACGCUGAGGAGCGAAAGGGUGGGGAGCAAACAGGCUUAGAUACCCUGGUAGUCCACCCCGUAAACGUUGGGAACUAGUUGUGGGGACCAUUCCACGGUUUCCGUGACGCAGCUAACGCAUUAAGUUCCCCGCCUGGGGAGUACGGCCGCAAGGCUAAAACUCA